RNAcentral lists this long non-coding RNA (2350 nucleotides) under Ananas comosus (pineapple). RNAcentral's name for it is "long non-coding RNA (ACOM_LNC017339)". The record is from RNAcentral. Lineage: Eukaryota; Viridiplantae; Streptophyta; Magnoliopsida; Poales; Bromeliaceae.
GUGUUUUCGCCGUCCUCGACGUCGCACCGACGUUGGAUUCGCUGUCGAGGUGAGUACCUAACUUUCCUCCUUGGAUUACUUGAACGCACGGUUUUGAGCUCGCGUGCUGAUUUUACUAAUUUUCAGCAUCAACCGUCAGUGUUUCGGCUCGUACUCGGCAUAGGAACGUCGGAUUUCGACGGGACUUGGUUCGUUGGAUUCAUGACUUCGAGAGGAAUCCACGAAGCCCUUAUUUUCUGGAUUUGUUGAAGGUUAGCUGGAUCGAAAUUAUGUUCUCCUCUGCUGCUGUGUUUUGGACAGAAUUUGAGUUGGAGUUCUUCGUUGCGAUGUGUGCAGGGCGAUUUCGAACUUGAGCUGGACACCCUGGUUUUUCCAGUGGAUUUGGAGAUUUUUGGUGACCUCCUUGCUGCCGGGGUUUAGCGUUCGAGGUAGGUUACAUCGGUUUAUUCCUAAGUAUAUAUUAGUCGACAUGUUUGAUUUUCGGGUUCUGGUAAAUCAUGUUGUAGCUCAGGUUGUUGAUCGUAUCACGGCUAAAAAUAAUCAGCAUUGAGAACAUGACUUGUAACCAUAAAUAUACAUGUUGGACUUGGAUUCGACUUAGGAGAAAAUGCGAUAACGAUCGGCAUAUGUUAAACUACCUGAUUUAACCCUAGGGGCCGUUGUAUGAUUUUAUACUAUUGCAGUAUCAUCAUAUUGAGAAUUCCAGGUAGUUUAGAUUUCAGUUACACUCGUGCGGGGAUGCCGAGUGAAUUUUUAAAAUAGCGUUUAGGCUGUUUCGGACUGUUGGGUGCCGUCGGGGUUGACGGUGGACCCGUAUCGCCUUUUUGGCGUUGGAUUGUGCCGAACGGAUAUUACCUGUUGGUUGUUAGACCAGUUUGAGUCGGUCACUGGACUUUGGCUUUUGAGAAUCUGAUUGAGCUCGACAGAGAUACGCUGCAUACUCGGUUGGGUAGCUCCCACGAGUGCCACUCCGGAGACGAGCGCUAUACUUUCGCGUUGGUGUCGCUCAUGCCGGUUGGACUUGCUCUCCACAGACUAGUAGUGUGGAGGUAGUUAGAUAGUGACAACUGGGCAGGGACGGGUGUGUUCACAGUCCCAGGGACGGGUAGACCUACAGUCCCGAUUGGAUUGGGUCAGAUUUGAUAUUUCCUACAGUUGGUUAGUGUAGAGCAUGAUAGUGUAGUGAUUCAUAGUGGUAUAUUUUAUUCCUACAUUUACUACUAUCUUUGCUCCGUUCUGUAGACUUAGUGGGUGGACCGAUAUUGUUGAGGGCGGCACCCACUGAGGACUACCUGUUUUUAUAGUAGUUCCCACGCCCUGUUAUUACCCUCUGUUUUUGCAGAGCCAUCGUCUUUGGCUGCUGCUGUCGCAGAUUAGGAUCGAGGCAAGGGCGUCGCGAGUUAGAGCCCUACCAGACGUGCCGAGCUAGAGGUGCCCCUACUGCAGGUAGAUGUUUUGUUUUGAGUUCAUAUACAUAGUAUACUUAACUCGCCAGUGCGAGUAGCUCUGUAUUUUUGGUUAUUGGACUAUAUACAUGGAACUCCGUUUGUUUAGUUUCUGUUUACUCUAACAGCUCUAUACUACUGUUUGUCGUAUUGUACGGUUUACAGGUAUAGCUGUCGCUUCGUAUACAGGAGAAAUUCCUUUGUAUACGGCGGAUUUAUCGGCGUGCCCGGGGAACGUGUAACCCAGGGCAUGACAACAAUUUUCAUUAAAACAGUGCAAAUUUAUUUUAAAACAGUGUAACCUUAUUUUAACAGUACAAUUUCAUAUUCUUCUUCAUUCUUAUAUAAUUUUUUUCUUUACUUUUUGUCUUCUUCCUUCUUCUACAACUUUUUUUUGUCGCGCCUCUCCGCCAACGGCCAUAGUGUUGGCGACGACGCUGCUAAAGACCCCCCGCUCCAAGGCUGCGGCGCCGCAACGACCUCCGCGGCACCUAUGUCGGCGGAGAGGCGUCAUCGUUGGAAGCGGCGGAGGAGACGAAAGAGGAGGGAGAGGGAAAGAGCGAGAGAGGUUGAGAUAGGCGUCGUCGAAGGCGGUGGAGGAGGGUUGGAGAGGGGAAAAAAAUAAAUCACAGCGCGGCCUCGGCGGGGUCGAAGGUGAGGAAGGCGGGGUUACGCGGGCGAGGGUAAGGAUGCGCCGGACAAAAUCGAAGCGAACUGCCUCCGCCUCCGCCUCUGCCUCCGCCUUCGCCUCCGCCGCUCUCUGGGAAGAGAAAGAAAAAAAUAACGAGAGAAAAAAAGAGGAGAGAGAAAAAUGUGUAAGGAUAUUUUGGUCAGUUUGCUGAAAAUUCGGUCCAAAUAUGCAAAAUCGAAAAAGGUGGCCCACUUUUGCAAAAGCGCAAAAUUAG